Molecule: ribosomal RNA, 501 nt
Filed under: uncultured bacterium
Lineage: Bacteria
Description: partial 16S ribosomal RNA
Rfam family: Bacterial small subunit ribosomal RNA
Source: RNAcentral
ACUGAACGCUGGCGGCAGGCUUAACACAUGCAAGUCGAGCGGGGGAAGGUAGCUUGCUACCGGACCUAGCGGCGGACGGGUGAGUAAUGCUUAGGAAUCUGCCUAUUAGUGGGGGACAACAUCUCGAAAGGGAUGCUAAUACCGCAUACGUCCUACGGGAGAAAGCAGGGGAUCUUCGGACCUUGCGCUAAUAGAUGAGCCUAAGUCGGAUUAGCUAGUUGGUGGGGUAAAGGCCUACCAAGGCGACGAUCUGUAGCGGGGCUGAGAGGAUGAUCCGCCACACGGGGACGGAGACACGGCCCAGACUCCUACGGGAGGCGGCAGUGGGGAAUAUUGGACAAUGGGGGGAACCCUGAUCCAGCCAUGCCGCGUGUGUGAAGAAGGCCUUAUGGUUGUAAAGCACUUUAAGCGAGGAGGAGGCUACUCUAGUUAAUACCUAGGGAUAGUGGACGUUACUCGCAGAAUAAGCACCGGCUAACUCUGUGCCAGCCGCCGCGGUAA